CCUAGUAGGAGAGCGGCGUGUGGACACUACAACAGGACCAAUCAUAGAGGGCAAAAGGGAGCGUGGACAAGUAGCUUUAGCCUAUUAGCAAUCAAGUAGCUGCGCGUGGAGCUAGGGAUAGUGUUUAA
Molecule: long non-coding RNA, 128 nt
Organism: Athene cunicularia (burrowing owl)
Lineage: Eukaryota; Metazoa; Chordata; Aves; Strigiformes; Strigidae
Exons: 3
Source: RefSeq, a predicted model, not a curated record